CAUUAGGUGGCUGAAAACAAGCACUGGUCUCUUAAACCAUUCUAUAGUAAGGUAGUGUCUACUCCUAAUG
This 70-nucleotide transfer RNA is filed under the name Lucanus cervus. RNAcentral's name for it is "tRNA-Lys". The record is from RNAcentral. Lineage: Eukaryota; Metazoa; Arthropoda; Insecta; Coleoptera; Lucanidae.